Molecule: long non-coding RNA, 1325 nt
Filed under: Zonotrichia albicollis (white-throated sparrow)
Lineage: Eukaryota; Metazoa; Chordata; Aves; Passeriformes; Passerellidae
Description: lncRNA (ENSZALG00000003509.1)
Source: RNAcentral
GACAACAGGAGCUGGGAAUGUUUCCUCUGGGGACCCUGAACCCCUUCCUGUGCUCCUGCCGUUCCCCAUGGAAACCACGGGCACACAGACAGCACCAAAAUAUUUUGGGAGGCUUUAAGAGAAGAUGUGCAGAGUGAGAGUGAGCUCCACAAGCCCAGAUCGAUUGGAAUUCAACCAUCUUGGGAGCAGAGCAGGGAGGUUCCAGCUGCUGGAAAUUACACACAGCUCCUUUCAUUUCCACACAUUUUUCCUGCCUAAUUGGAGCGAGGUGAGAGCUCGGGAAGGAGCCGGACACGAUCCCUCCAUGACUCAUUCCUGAGGGAGGGAGGGAAGGAGGGACACAGGGACACUCCCUGGGGAACCAUUGCACCAGUCUGCUCUUACUGGGCACUGAAGGAGGAACCUGUUAUCUCCAGGCACCCACAGAUGUCAUUUGGAUGAGAAUGAGCAGCUGGGCCAGGAACAGAGACAGGAAGAGGUCAAAGUGUGCAGGACGUGAGGACACUUCUUGCUCAGCCACUUCUCAGUGUGGGAGCCAAUUCCAUGAGCAUUCCCAGCUAAUUGCAGGCAACAAAUGGGGAAGCACGGGCAGGACUUUGGGAACGGCACCAGCAGGAGCGAUGGAACUUCCACAGUCAACCCAGAAAGCUGCAAAAUGAUCAUAACAAUUAUUGAUUAUGAUUGACACAUUCUGGAAAGCAUUGAUCAGAGCCAUUCCUGGGCUCCCACCCUGUGUAUAGAGCAGGAAUAUCCUCACAGGAGCCUGGAGCAUCAGGAUGAGCUCCUGGCUGGAUGUCACACCCCAAAUCCCUUUCCUGGGCUUCCUCCAUGUCCCUCCCUGCUCUGUAUGAUCCUCCCAAAUGCAGAAUUUGCCUUCAAAGGGAGCUGGAUCCUUAAGGUCCCUCCCAAGCCAAACAAUUCCAUGGUUGGUGAUCCCCAGGGCAGCUUCCCUGAGCCUCCCAGAGUGGUGGGAGCUGCCCCUGCUCACUGGGAUUGCACUGGAUCCCUUUAAAGGUUCCUCCCAACCAAAUCAUGCUGGGUUUUUCCAUAGAACUGGGCUGUAAAUGAAUGGAUUCUUCACAAUAAUAAUAAUUCAAAAACAGUGCAAAUUCCUGCCCCAGAGGCGUGGGAAUAGGUAAAAUGGGCUGGGAAAAGACUGCAGUUAUUGAAAUGGGAAUGGUGCACCCCAAAGUCUCUCCUAUCCUUCUCCCCUCCCCUAUUUAUGGGUUAUUUGGGGAAGAGAAAGUCUUCAAGAUUCCAAAAUAUCCUCCCUGCAUUCAUUUUGUAUUAACAUUCCCAGUAGAUUGAUUUGAUUUUAUUUUUUA